UGGGGAAUUUUGGACAAUGGGCGCAAGCCUGAUCCAGCCAUACCGCGUGUGUGAAGAAGGUCUUCGGAUUGUAAAGCACUUUAAGUUGGGAGGAAGGGCAGUAAGUUAAUACCUUGCUGUUUUGACGUUACCGACAGAAUAAGCACCGGCUAACUCUGUGCCAGCAGCCGCGGUAAUACAGAGGGUGCAAGCGUUAAUCGGAAUUACUGGGCGUAAAGCGCGCGUAGGUGGUUUGUUAAGUUGGAUGUGAAAGCCCCGGGCUCAACCUGGGAACUGCAUCCAAAACUGGCAAGCUAGAGUACGGUAGAGGGUGGUGGAAUUUCCUGUGUAGCGGUGAAAUGCGUAGAUAUAGGAAGGAACACCAGUGGCGAAGGCGACCACCUGGACUGAUACUGACACUGAGGUGCGAAAGCGUGGGGAGCAAACAGGAUUAGAUACCCCAGUAGUCCCUGAGCGGGCUGGCAAGGCGCAU
This 472-nucleotide ribosomal RNA is filed under the name uncultured bacterium. RNAcentral's name for it is "bacterial SSU rRNA". It matches the Rfam family "Bacterial small subunit ribosomal RNA", at positions 355 to 825 of the family's 1533-position model. The record is from RNAcentral.